Molecule: ribosomal RNA, 706 nt
Filed under: uncultured bacterium
Lineage: Bacteria
Description: bacterial SSU rRNA
Rfam family: Bacterial small subunit ribosomal RNA
Source: RNAcentral
UGCAGUCGAGGGGCAGCGUAACGGGUAGCAAUACCUGUUGACGGCGACCGGCGCACGGGUGCGUAACGCGUAUGUAACCUACCGUUCACAGGGGGAUAGUCAGAGGAAACUUUGAAUAAUACCGCAUAAAACAGGGGUCCGGCAUCGGAAUAUUUGUUAAAGGUGGCGACACGGUGAACGAUGGGCAUGCGUUCGAUUAGAUAGUUGGUGAGGUAACGGCUCACCAAGUCUACGAUCGAUAGGGGGUCUGAGAGGAUUAUCCCCCACACUGGUACUGAGAUACGGACCAGACUCCUACGGGAGGCAGCAGUGAGGAAUAUUGGGCAAUGGGCGAAAGCCUGACCCAGCCAUGCCGCGUGCAGGAAGACGGCCCUAUGGGUUGUAAACUGCUUUUACUCGGGAAGAAUAAGGGUUACGUGUAACCCGAUGACGGUACCGAAAGAAUAAGCAUCGGCUAACUCCGUGCCAGCAGCCGCGGUAAUACGGAGGAUGCGAGCGUUAUCCGGAAUUAUUGGGUUUAAAGGGUCCGCAGGCGGACAGGUAAGUCAGUAGUGAAAAACCGGGGCUUAACCCCGGUCGUGCUACAGAAACUGCCUGACUAGAGAAAGUUUGGCGUUGGCGGAAUGUGACAAGUAGCGGUGAAAUGCAUAGAUAUGUCACAGAACACCGAUAGCGAAAGCAGCUGACGAAGACUAUUCUGACGCUC